UACGUAGGGUGCGAGCGUUGUCCGGAAUUAUUGGGCGUAAAGGGCUCGUAGGCGGUUUGUCGCGUCUGCUGUGAAAACUGGGGGCUCAACCCCCAGCCUGCAGUGGGUACGGGCAGACUAGAGGUAGGUAGGGGAGAAUGGAAUUCCCGGUGUAGCGGUGAAAUGCGCAGAUAUCGGGAGGAACACCGGUGGCGAAGGCGGGUCUCUGGGGCAGUAACUGACGCUGAGGAGCGAAAGCGU
This 240-nucleotide ribosomal RNA is filed under the name uncultured bacterium. RNAcentral's name for it is "partial 16S ribosomal RNA". It matches the Rfam family "Bacterial small subunit ribosomal RNA", at positions 524 to 762 of the family's 1533-position model. The record is from RNAcentral.